This is a non-coding RNA of Salmo salar (Atlantic salmon), 220 nucleotides long. Lineage: Eukaryota; Metazoa; Chordata; Actinopteri; Salmoniformes; Salmonidae. The record is from RefSeq and is a predicted model, not a curated record.
UAGAGGAGAGAGGGAGGAGAGGAAAGAGAGAGGAGAGAAGGAAGAGAGGAUUAGUAACACAGUUCUCCAUUAAGCUACUUCCUGUCCGUGGAGUUUACCCAGGAAGACGGCCCCCUGGGCCCCGCUCCCUACCCACUGCAGCUCAGAGAUGUCCUCAAACGGCACCUCCCAGAGCUCUGGAGAGGAGGGAGAGAGAGAGAGAGAGAGACAGAGAGAGAGA